RNAcentral lists this transfer RNA (77 nucleotides) under Armatimonadota bacterium. RNAcentral describes it as "Armatimonadetes bacterium (anaerobic digester metagenome) tRNA-Arg". It matches the Rfam family "tRNA". From Rfam's summary of the family: Transfer RNA (tRNA) molecules are approximately 80 nucleotides in length. Their secondary structure includes four short double-helical elements and three loops (D, anti-codon, and T loops). Further hydrogen bonds mediate the characteristic L-shaped molecular structure. tRNAs have two regions of fundamental functional importance: the anti-codon, which is responsible for specific mRNA codon recognition, and the 3' end, to which the tRNAs corresponding amino acid is attached (by aminoacyl-tRNA synthetases). tRNAs cope with the degeneracy of the genetic code in two manners: having more than one tRNA (with a specific anti-codon) for a particular amino acid; and 'wobble' base-pairing, i.e. permitting non-standard base-pairing at the 3rd anti-codon position. The record is from RNAcentral. Lineage: Bacteria; Bacillati; Armatimonadota.
GCGCCUGUAGCUCAGUGGAUUAGAGCACUGGUCUUCGGAACCAGGUGUCGGGGGUUCGAAUCCCUCCAGGCGCGCCA